CGAGUUAGGGUCUUCUCAGGCCCGACCUCCCAACCCUUUGUUUACCCGACCCAUGUUGCUUCGGCGGGCCCGCCGGUUUCGACGGCCGCCGGAGGACCGCCUAUUCAGGUCCUCUGGCCCGCGCCCGCCGGUAGCCAAUUCUACCAAACUCUUGAAUCAAAUCGUGUCCAAUGUCUGAGUAUAUUACAAAAUAAAAGCAAAANUUUCAACAACGGAUCUNUUGGUUCUGGCNUCGA
This 236-nucleotide unclassified non-coding RNA is filed under the name Exophiala dermatitidis. RNAcentral describes it as "sequence contains ITS1". Lineage: Eukaryota; Fungi; Ascomycota; Eurotiomycetes; Chaetothyriales; Herpotrichiellaceae. The record is from RNAcentral.